AGGUUACUGCUAUCGGUGUUCGCCUAAGCCAUGCGAGUCAUAUGUUCUUCGUGAACAUGGCGUACUGCUCAGUAACACGUGGAUAACCUGCCCUUGGGUCCGGCAUAACCCCGGGAAACUGGGGAUAAUUCCGGAUAACGCACAUAUGCUGGAAUGCUUUAUGCGUCAAAUGGAUUCGUCCGCCCAAGGAUGGGUCUGCGGCCUAUCAGGUAGUAGUGGGUGUAAUGUACCUACUAGCCUACGACGGGUACGGGUUGUGAGAGCAAGAGCCCGGAGAUGGAUUCUGAGACAUGAAUCCAGGCCCUACGGUGCGCAGCAGGCGCGAAAACUUUACAAUGCGGGAAACCGUGAUAAGGGGACACCGAGUGCCAGCAUCAUAUGCUGGCUGUCCGGGUGUGUAAAAUACACCUGUUAGCAAGGGCCGGGCAAGACCGGUGCCAGCCGCCGCGGUAACACCGGCGGCCCGAGUGGUGAUCGUGAUUAUUGGGUCUAAAGGGUCCGUAGCCGGUUUGGUCAGUCCUCCGGGAAAUCUGACGGCUUAACCGUUAGGCUUUCGGGGGAUACUGCCAGACUUGGAACCGGGAGAGGUAAGAGGUACUACAGGGGUAGGAGUGAAAUCUUGUAAUCCCUGUGGGACCACCUGUGGCGAAGGCGUCUUACCAGAACGGGUUCGACGGUGAGGGACGAAAGCUGGGGGCACGAACCGGAUUAGAUACCCGGGUAGUCCCAGCCGUAAACGAUGCUCGCUAGGUGUCAGGCAUGGCGCGACCGUGUCUGGUGCCGCAGGGAAGCCGUGAAGCGAGCCACCUGGGAAGUACGGCCGCAAGGCUGAAACUUAA
RNAcentral lists this ribosomal RNA (839 nucleotides) under uncultured archaeon. RNAcentral describes it as "bacterial SSU rRNA". It matches the Rfam family "Archaeal small subunit ribosomal RNA", at positions 21 to 859 of the family's 1478-position model. The record is from RNAcentral.